Theobroma umbraticum is the source of this 765-nucleotide long non-coding RNA. RefSeq lists it as uncharacterized. Lineage: Eukaryota; Viridiplantae; Streptophyta; Magnoliopsida; Malvales; Malvaceae. The record is from RefSeq and is a predicted model, not a curated record.
UCUUAGCACCAUGUUCGGCUCUCUCUUUCGCCCUUUCCUGUCGGCUGGAACUUUGUUUAUGAAAUGCCGCUUCUCUCUCCCUAAACCAGGCAAAAAUCGACCUCCUCCGACGUCCUCCCUGUCCACCGACGGGCUAUCUACGGCCUCCCUCCACUUUUCCUUUCUUUGAUGACCCGAGGUGCAAAUAAUGUGAGAAAUAUAGCAAAACCCGAAGCCAACAACUCCGGAAGAGAAGCGGAAGCCCAGCUUCAUCGUCGACUGUGAAGCCUCCAAUCUGUCGGCUGGAAGCUUCUGACGCCAACAACUCCCGAAGAAAAGCCGAAUCCCAGCCUCCUCGACCGUGAAGGCUCUGAUCUGUAGGUUGGAAUUUUCGAAUCAAACAACUCCAGCAGAAACGCCGAAGCCCAGCCUCUUCAAGUGUGAACCUCCGAUUUGUCGACUAGAGCUUUGUCCUUGUGUUUUUGGGUUCCCGUUUUGAACUUUUUGCCUUUGUUUUUGGGGAUUUCUCUCCCUUCGAUUUGGGCAUUGUUUGAUGUGAGUUUGAUUUUGAGACAGAAGUGUAGCAUUGUUUGAAAACUCUGUAUUUUUGGUUUGCUGCUGCUCCUUGGGGUACACUAAGCUAAGGAAAAACCAAAUGGUGAAGGGAGUGACGAUGCUCCUGAAGAGGCAAUGAGUGCAGCAACUACUGCUGGUUGACAGAGCAGUCCUGGUCUUCCUCGAAUGCCAGUUUAAGAGAUAGCUGCUGCUCAGAUUCAGAAGGCUUUU